This 111-nucleotide small nucleolar RNA is filed under the name Exophiala aquamarina CBS 119918. RNAcentral describes it as "A. fumigatus snoRNA Afu_304". It matches the Rfam family "A. fumigatus snoRNA Afu_304". The record is from Rfam by way of RNAcentral. Lineage: Eukaryota; Fungi; Ascomycota; Eurotiomycetes; Chaetothyriales; Herpotrichiellaceae.
UAUCAUGAUGAACAAGAGCUAUUAGCUCGACAUAAUCCCAGCUCGUCGACAGCAGCCUCAUCAUAUAUCUCACGUUAGAGGCUGCAAUGAGAGGAAUUCCAACCCUGAAAA